Molecule: ribosomal RNA, 253 nt
Filed under: uncultured Eubacteriales bacterium
Lineage: Bacteria; Bacillati; Bacillota; Clostridia; Eubacteriales
Description: uncultured Clostridiales bacterium partial 16S ribosomal RNA
Rfam family: Bacterial small subunit ribosomal RNA
Source: RNAcentral
UACGGAGGAUCCGAGCGUUAUCCGGAUUUAUUGGGUUUAAAGGGAGCGUAGACGGCGGGGCAAGUCUGGAGUGAAAGGCCGGGGCCCAACCCCGGGACCGCUCUGGAAACUGCCCGGCUGGAGUGCGGGAGAGGUAAGCGGAAUUCCUAGUGUAGCGGUGAAAUGCGUAGAUAUUAGGAGGAACACCAGCGGCGAAGGCAGCUUACCAAACUAUAUCUGACGUUGAGGCACGAAAGCGUGGGGAGCAAACAGG